UGGGGAAUAUUGGACAAUGGGGGCAACCCUGAUCCAGCCAUGCCGCGUGUGUGAAGAAGGCCUUUUGGUUGUAAAGCACUUUAAGCAGGGAGGAGAGGCUAAUGGUUAAUACCCAUUAGAUUAGACGUUACCUGCAGAAUAAGCACCGGCUAACUCUGUGCCAACAGCCGCGGUAAUACAGAGGGUGCGAGCGUUAAUCGGAAUUACUGGGCGUAAAGCGAGUGUAGGUGGCUCAUUAAGUCACAUGUGAAAUCCCCGGGCUUAACCUGGGAACUGCAUGUGAUACUGGUGGUGCUAGAAUAUGUGAGAGGGAAGUAGAAUUCCCAGGUGUAGCGGUGAAAUGCGUAGAGAUCUGGAGGAAUACCGAUGGCGAAGGCAGCUUCCUGGCAUAAUAUUGACACUGAGAUUCGAAAAGCGUGGGUAGCAAAACAGGAUUAGAUACCCUGGUAGUCCACGCCGUAAACGAUGUCUACUAGCCGUUGGGGUCCUUGAGACUUUAGUGGCGCAGUUAACGCGAUAAGUAGACCGCCUGGGGAGUACGGCCGCAAGGUUAAAAACUC
This 560-nucleotide ribosomal RNA is filed under the name uncultured bacterium. RNAcentral's name for it is "partial 16S ribosomal RNA". It matches the Rfam family "Bacterial small subunit ribosomal RNA", at positions 355 to 902 of the family's 1533-position model. The record is from RNAcentral.